Molecule: transfer RNA, 76 nt
Filed under: Desulfuromonas sp.
Lineage: Bacteria; Pseudomonadati; Thermodesulfobacteriota; Desulfuromonadia; Desulfuromonadales; Desulfuromonadaceae
Also listed under: 5 other names
Description: tRNA-Lys
Rfam family: tRNA
About the family: Transfer RNA (tRNA) molecules are approximately 80 nucleotides in length. Their secondary structure includes four short double-helical elements and three loops (D, anti-codon, and T loops). Further hydrogen bonds mediate the characteristic L-shaped molecular structure. tRNAs have two regions of fundamental functional importance: the anti-codon, which is responsible for specific mRNA codon recognition, and the 3' end, to which the tRNAs corresponding amino acid is attached (by aminoacyl-tRNA synthetases). tRNAs cope with the degeneracy of the genetic code in two manners: having more than one tRNA (with a specific anti-codon) for a particular amino acid; and 'wobble' base-pairing, i.e. permitting non-standard base-pairing at the 3rd anti-codon position.
Source: RNAcentral
GGGCCGGUAGCUCAGUUGGUAGAGCAUCUGACUUUUAAUCAGAUGGUCACAGGUUCGAUCCCUGUCCGGCUCACCA